Molecule: ribosomal RNA, 497 nt
Filed under: uncultured bacterium
Lineage: Bacteria
Description: partial 16S ribosomal RNA
Rfam family: Bacterial small subunit ribosomal RNA
Source: RNAcentral
GAUGAACGCUGGCGGCGUGCCUAAUACAUGCAAGUCGAGCGAAAGGCCGAGACGCUUGCUUCUCUGUUGUUAUCGCCGGACGGGUGAGUAACACGUGCCUAAUCUAUUUAUAAGCCUUGGAUAUUUUCGGGAAACCUGCUAUAGUUACGGAUAAUCUUUUGAAUCGCCUGCUUCAACAGUGUCACCCGGUCUUGCUUACAUUUCUAGAUGCAUCCCCGCUUCAUUAGCUAAUUGGUAUGGUAACGGCAUACCAAGGCAACGAUGCAUAGCCGACGUGAGAGGGUGAUCGAACACACGCGAACUAAAUCGCUGUCCAGACUCCUACGGUAAGCGUCAGUAUGGAAUCUUCGGCAAUGGGCGAAAGCCUGACGCAGCAUCGCCGCGUGGGUGAUUAAGGUCUUCUGAUCGUAAAGCUCUGUUAUUUAGAAAGAACAUAUGUAUAGGUAACUGUUCACAUCUUGACGGUACCGAAUCAGAAAACCACGACUAACUACGUG